Hemicordylus capensis (graceful crag lizard) is the source of this 811-nucleotide long non-coding RNA. RefSeq lists it as uncharacterized. NCBI's taxonomy places the organism in Eukaryota, Metazoa, Chordata, Lepidosauria, Squamata, Cordylidae. The transcript has 3 exons. The record is from RefSeq and is a predicted model, not a curated record.
GUUUUUUCUCUUCUUGUUUGAACUGGUCUUUUUUAUUAAUGCUAAUUUGUUGUGCUUUAUUGAUGGUUAAUAGAUCUGUUGCUGUACGUCAUUUUGGAUCCUUGUGAAGAGAAAAACAGGGUAGCAGAUUCCAUCACCCUCUCGUGUGACCAAGCAACAGUGAGCGACUGAAGACCGACUGGCUUCAUUUUGUGGGAGAAACUAAACAAGGUGAGUGGGCAGAGAGGCAAGCAGGCAGGCAUGGGCAGAUGACAGAAAAUGACUUUGGUUUUUUUUCAUGAGCAUUCUCUGGAUGCCAUUUUGUAGCUCUGGAUGCCAUUUUGUGAUUCCAACCAUUUUGACUGAAUUCUGACUUUAGUUCUGACAUUAGUUCUAAUAGUUCUGACCUGAUAUUGGGAACUCAAGAUUGCAUCGGAUUUCUGCUGAUUUUUUCUGAUUUUGCCAAUGUUGGAGCAAUCCCAACAUAGAAUAGGCAACAGAUAACAAGAGCAUAAUGAAGGAUUUUAAGGUAUCAGACCUGAAAGGACAGAUUUUUACAAUGUUGUCCAGGGAGAAGCAAUAUGGCUUGGCAACAGACUGAAAAGCGGCAGCAAAGAAGAAGCUUGCUUUGCACUGAUGGCACCAUGAGGAGCAAGUUCUGCCUGUGAAGGGCAAUCACAUAGUCCAACUGCUCGAUAAUAGGUGCCAUUAUCACAUGACAUGUGGCUAUGUGACUUCAUUUGAGAUAUAGCAGUGAAUACAUUUGUUACUGUUAGCAUCCAUAAUUUUUAAUUUGCUCACUGGAAUGACAGAAAUGAAGCUUAAAUUUACA